CUCAGAAGCUCACCAAUCACAACAGGAACUUCAGACUUUGGUAACUCACAUGUGCUGAGUGAUCAUUUAGAAGAUAUCUGUGGUUGUUUAUAACAAAACUAUCUCUUUCUUCAUGUCUUUAGUGGUGCUCUAUGAAAGGGAGUAUAGACACACUGCACCAAGGAUAUGUUAUCAUCUCAUCAUAUUUUCAUGCCGUUAGCAGGACCUUUUACAUAGCACAGUAAAGGGAUGGAUUACAUUUCUAUAAUAAGAGAGUGAGUAUGCUAAUAAAUCAGGAAAGAAUGACAUUAAAGC
Molecule: non-coding RNA, 294 nt
Organism: Pelobates cultripes (western spadefoot toad)
Lineage: Eukaryota; Metazoa; Chordata; Amphibia; Anura; Pelobatidae
Source: the annotation of a GenBank genome assembly